CCUACGGGAGGCAGCAGUGGGGAAUUUUGGACAAUGGGGGCAACCCUGAUCCAGCCAUGCCGCGUGUCUGAAGAAGGCCUUCGGGUUGUAAAGGACUUUUGUUAGGGAGCAAGUCCUGCAGGUUAAGAGCUAGUAGGGAUGAGAGUACCUGAAGAAUAAGCACCGGCUAACUACGUGCCAGCAGCCGCGGUAAUACGUAGGGUGCGAGCGUUAAUCGGAAUUACUGGGCGUAAAGCGUGCGCAGGCGGUUAUGUAAGACAGGCGUGAAAUCCCCGGGCUUAACCUGGGAAUUGCGCUUGUGACUGCAUAGCUAGAGUGUGUCAGAGGGGGGUAGAAUUCCACGUGUAGCAGUGAAAUGCGUAGAGAUGUGGAGGAAUACCAAUGGCGAAGGCAGCCCCCUGGGAUAACACUGACGCUCAUGCACGAAAGCGUGGGGAGCAAACAGGAUUAGAUACCCUGGUAGUCCACGCCCUAAACGAUGCUGACUAGUUGUUCGGGAAUUUAUUCCUGAGUAACGUAGCUAACGCGUGAAGUCAGCCGCCUGGGGAGUACGGUCGCAAGAUUAAAACUCAAAGGAAUUGACGG
This 585-nucleotide ribosomal RNA is filed under the name uncultured beta proteobacterium. RNAcentral's name for it is "bacterial SSU rRNA". It matches the Rfam family "Bacterial small subunit ribosomal RNA", at positions 338 to 916 of the family's 1533-position model. The record is from RNAcentral. Lineage: Bacteria; Pseudomonadati; Pseudomonadota; Betaproteobacteria.